GGGGGUGACCGGUUUCGACGGGGAGUGAUCGGGCCGGGGAGGCGAGCCGAGUCGGCGAAAACUCGUUAAAAAGUCGCAACUUGUUAUAAACGCCAAGAGACAGCCUCAGCUGGCUCUCGCGGCCUAGCGCCGCGCGUCUUAAUUCGCUUCGCCGAUAGGGCAAGUUAAGGCGCCAAUUAUAUCGGCUGCCUAUGGAGUGAUCGGUCUUCGUUGCUCCGGGGAGAAGUUAGAAGACAUGGAAAUGACGAAUCUCGCCCCAAAGAGGCGCCACUUCCGAGAUUAAAGUUGGGGCUACGCUCGUAGAAUCUUCGGUAGGGUCUUUUCCGGACGCGGGUUCAACUCCCGCCACCUCCACCA
This 357-nucleotide transfer-messenger RNA is filed under the name bacterium. It matches the Rfam family "transfer-messenger RNA". From Rfam's summary of the family: Bacterial tmRNA, also known as 10Sa RNA or SsrA, is named for its dual tRNA and mRNA-like properties. Its role is to liberate the mRNA from a stalled ribosome. The record is from RNAcentral. RNAcentral also lists the same sequence under 1 other name.